Molecule: ribosomal RNA, 468 nt
Filed under: uncultured bacterium
Lineage: Bacteria
Description: partial 16S ribosomal RNA
Rfam family: Bacterial small subunit ribosomal RNA
Source: RNAcentral
GACGAACGCUGGCGGCGUGCUUAACACAUGCAAGUCGAACGGAAAGGCCCUGCUUUUGUGGGGUGCUCGAGUGGCGAACGGGUGAGUAACACGUGAGUAACCUGCCCUUGACUUUGGGAUAACUUCAGGAAACUGGGGCUAAUACCGGAUAGGAGCUCCUGCUGCAUGGUGGGGGUUGGAAAGUUUCGGCGGUUGGGGAUGGACUCGCGGCUUAUCAGCUUGUUGGUGGGGUAGUGGCUUACCAAGGCAUUGACGGGUAGCCGGCCUGAGAGGGUGACCGGCCACAUUGGGACUGAGAUACGGCCCAGACUCCUACGGGAGGCAGCAGUGGGGAAUAUUGCACAAUGGGCGGAAGCCUGAUGCAGCAACGCCGCGGGCGGGAUGACGGCCUUCGGGUUGUAAACCGCUUUCGCCUGUGACGAAGCGUGAGUGACGGUAAUGGGUAAAGAAGCACCGGCUAACUACGUG